UAAGCUAAUAGGCCAAGUAGUGGCAGAAUUAAUAUAGUUUUCUGUAUGGUCAUUUCAGGUCUGUGCGGCCGGGAACAAAUGAGCUGCCUCCGUCAACAUUGCUGUUACUAAGGCUGAACUGUUAGAAACGCAAUGGCUGAUAUUCAAACUUCUGAUGAAGAAAAAUGGAUCAUUUUUUGUGGGAACACUAAUCAUGACAAACCCAAAGCCAUCCAGCAGAAGGGGGAGAGUUUGUCAUUUAGACCAGGCUGGCCUUGACCUCAGGAUCCUCCCACUUCUUGAGUAACAGGGCUAUGAGCCUGUGCUAUUCGCCCAGCUUGGUUGAUUCUAAUUCUCUGCAUAAGGAAACGGAUGCCAAGUUCCCUUCUGGGAUGAUGUAAGCAGCCUCUCUUGUCACAUCCUCCUGUCACCAGUGGUCUGCCUCACCACAAGCCCAUUAGCCGUCGAGCCAGCAGCUAUGGAUUGGAACCUUUGAAACCAUGAACCAAAAUAACUCUCUCUUCCUCUGAGUCGGUUUGCUCAGGCAUUAUGUCAUAGCAAGGAAAAGCGACCAACGCAAAUAGACAGAAAUACUCAUUUGAGAUUCAAGUUGAAGUUUGUCCCUGAAAUUCCAUUUGCUUAUUAAUAUUAUGCUAUUUUUGCAUGUGGGUUUUGACUGGUCACAGAGCAAAUACUGGUUUAUUGGGAGGGUGAUGAGGUGUCUAAACAAGAAGAUGCUGUGUCUGAGCUUGUAUUCUGUGAGGUGAGGGCUCACGGAAGGUCAGCUGCCCCAGGUGCCUAUCAAAUACAGCGUUUCUGCUAAAAGCUUACAGAGAAUCCCAAUUUCUAGCACUCGCUUUCCAUUUUAAUGUCUAACAUUUACAUGGCAGGAAGGUUGCACCCCACCCCCACCACACACCCAUGCACACACCACAUACACUCACUCAUUGGCUCUGCUCUCUUAGUUUUCGCUGCCUGGUGGCCACACUGCCCACGUCCCCGGAAGGCUGGUCUGAAAACUGAGAUGGGGGUGGCUGCCGGCCCUGCCUCAGCAGCUCUAACACUGGGUUAGAGCAAGCGGAGGUGUUCCAGCUGAGAAGAAAGUACAGCUAUAUUUAUUUGAGAUUGCGGUCGGGAGCAUAGAGAAAGGGUCCCUCUAAGAGCUUUUUCUCUGAAACCCUCACCACCCACCACCUGGGAUCUGUCAAUCACUCACUCAUUCGCGUAUUCAUUCAACAAUAUUUAGCGUGUUCCUGUUCUUAGUCAGGCACAGGCGGUUAGAAGUCCAGUGCUUAACAAAAUGGCACUGCUCCUGCACUCAGGAAAUGAAUAUGAUAGUGGGGAGAAUUACUUAGAAAAGAAGCCACUUGACAUGUAAUAUAUAGCUCAAUGUUGGGGAUUAAUGUCUUAAGAGAGUGACAGAAAGACUAUUUUAAGUGAUGUGUCAAGAGGUCUCUCUGAGGAAGAGACAGUCAUACUUUACCUACAGAUACUUUGUCUACAGACAGUUUGAUGAGGUCAAAGGUUAUCUGAGGAAACUUCUGGGGAAGUGAGUCUUGGAGAGAAAAGAGGAGGUGGCAGGUUGUGAACGAGGAGCAUGGAACUGAGUGAGCAGUAGGAAUGAAUCCCUUGCAGGACAGAGAGCAAUCACAGAAGGAUAAUGAAGGUACAGGAGCGGGCAUCCAUCACAUUUUGUCUUAAAUGUGAUGGGAAACCACUGAAUACUUGGGAAAGGAGAAGACCGAUGGAGAUGAUCUUCCUGGCCAUAUUAACUGUAAGGAGCCAGGGAAGUUGGUUAGAAACCUUGUAAUAGUCUAAGAGGGAGCCUGACUUGGACCAGCCGGUAGAAUGUGGGGAUUUGCAAAGAAAGGGCCAUUUUCUGGAAGACUUGCUGGGAGAAAGAAAGAAGUUAAGGAGGGUUGAAUCUGGGUUCUUAUACCUUCCAGGCAAAUAUGUUUAGCUCUGAGUUCUACCAUUGUGGGUUUGUUUAGUUCUAGGAUAUAAAAACUGACAGAUGGGUCAAUGAACUCUCCAAUGAUCAAAACUUGAUCCCUAGAAAUAGUGAACAUUACCAUGUUUAGAAAAAGAGGGAAUUCUACUUUCUAUGGUAAUGUAUGUUCCUAAGCACCUCCUCCAGAUUACCUGGGAUUAUCUAGGUGGUCCCAGUGCCAUCAAAUGUCCCUGUGAUGGAGGGAAAGGGACAGGACUCACCAAACAGCAAAGACAUGUGAAAGUGGAGGCUAAAGACAGUGAUGCCACAAAUCCAGCGUGUCAGGAAGGCAGCCCCUUGCUGCAGGAGACUAGAAAUGGAUCCUCUCCAGUUCCCCAGAGGAAGUGUGGCUUGCUAAUUACUAGAUUUACACUCAGUGAAACCAGUUUGGGCAACUGCAUCUCCAGAACUAUGAGAAAGGAAAUUCCAGAUGUUUAAAGCCACCAGAUUCCUAAAAGUUGUUCCAACUGAUAUAAUAACUCACAGAAAUGCAAGAGAAGACUGGAUCAGGGUGGCUGUCGAGAUAAAAACCAUCAGCACAUUAGACAACGGACAGAUGGGAUGAAAGAUUGACAAGUGACCUAGGACUGCACAGGUCGCAGGAGAGCCGAGGAAGUGUAUCUGCUGGGGAAGAAGGGGAGGCAGAGAGGGGGAGGCAGAUGUCUCUGGACGGUGGCGCCUGGACCAGAUAAGCAUCUUACCCCAGUGCUGAGACAGGCCUACCAAUUCGAUCCAAAUUGGAUUUUUCAUGCUUUAAUUGGACUUUGCUGAAACCAUGCUUUUCUUUUUCCACGUCUAAUUUCGAGCCUUGAAACGAUCCCUUGGUUUAAAUUAGGUGGUUUUCCAAUGCUGCUUUCUUUCUGUUCAAACAAAGUUGACUUUGAUUGACUCUCAAUUCCCAAUUAGCUACCCAAUUUGUUCUUGUUUGUGCUGAUUCAACGUGGCAAGUACAUUAGCCCCCAUCCCCCAUCCCCACUGUCUCUCCCCCCCCCAGCUCACCUUGUCCAUCCCUGGGGAGCCUGUAGCUCCCCCCCCAUCCUGCAUGUGGUGUCUGCAGCACCCCAUCCCCACCUGCUUACCUCAUCCUGCCCUGUGGGGCCUGCAUCCUGGGUCUGAGGGUGUAAGGGUGACGGCUACUGAUUUUCUCUUAGUCUCUGUAUAGCCACUUAUCCUGUUUGAACAGCAGUGUUCUCUGAUCUUAAAAUAACUGUCCUUCCAGGCUUUCUGUAAUCUCUGUUUUUUUAAGAAAGAAGGAUCCCAGCCUGGAGUGAGAGCACAUACCUGUAAUUACCACA
Molecule: long non-coding RNA, 3264 nt
Organism: Alexandromys fortis (reed vole)
Lineage: Eukaryota; Metazoa; Chordata; Mammalia; Rodentia; Cricetidae
Exons: 3
Source: RefSeq, a predicted model, not a curated record